Molecule: transfer RNA, 72 nt
Filed under: Camelus bactrianus (Bactrian camel)
Lineage: Eukaryota; Metazoa; Chordata; Mammalia; Artiodactyla; Camelidae
Also listed under: 3 other names
Rfam family: tRNA
About the family: Transfer RNA (tRNA) molecules are approximately 80 nucleotides in length. Their secondary structure includes four short double-helical elements and three loops (D, anti-codon, and T loops).
Source: Rfam by way of RNAcentral
AGGUAUAUAGCUCAAUGGUAGAGCACGUGCUUGGCAUGCACAAGGUCCUGAGUUCAAUCCCUGGUGUCUCUG